This 62-nucleotide transfer RNA is filed under the name Haplorchis taichui. Its description in RNAcentral is "tRNA-Ser". Lineage: Eukaryota; Metazoa; Platyhelminthes; Trematoda; Opisthorchiida; Heterophyidae. The record is from RNAcentral.
GAGAGCUAUGUGAAGCUGUUGCUGCUAACAAUGGUAAGAGUGUUUAAAGCGCUCGGCUCUCU